RNAcentral lists this unclassified non-coding RNA (240 nucleotides) under soil metagenome. Its description in RNAcentral is "partial contains 5.8S ribosomal RNA, internal transcribed spacer 2, and large subunit ribosomal RNA". The record is from RNAcentral.
AACAUCGCGCACCUGCGGGAACCUGCGGAAGGAUCAUUAAUGAUUGGUGGCUGUUGCUGACUAGUGUUUCUAGUAUGUGCACGCCACACCUUCAAUCCCACUUACACCUGUGCACCUUCUGUAAUAGAUCUAUGUGGAUACGGAGAUGUGAAAGUUUGCGCUCUCGUACUCUGUUGAAGCAGUCUACUACGUUUUUUUACACACACACAAUAGUCAUUGAAUGUAUUUUUUAUUCUUAUG